UACGUAGGGGGCAAGCGUUGUCCGGAAUCAUUGGGCGUAAAGAGCGUGUAGGCGGCCCGGUAAGUCCGCUGUGAAAGUCCAGGGCUCAACCCUGGAAUGCCGGUGGAAACUGUCGGGCUAGAGUCCGGAAGAGGCGAGUGGAAUUCCUGGUGUAGCGGUGAAAUGCGUAGAGAUCAGGAGGAACACCCGUGGCGAAGGCGGCGCCCUGGUCCGUUACUGACGCUGAGACGCGAAAGCGCGGGGAGCGAACGGG
RNAcentral lists this ribosomal RNA (253 nucleotides) under uncultured bacterium. RNAcentral's name for it is "partial 16S ribosomal RNA". It matches the Rfam family "Bacterial small subunit ribosomal RNA", at positions 524 to 776 of the family's 1533-position model. The record is from RNAcentral.